Molecule: ribosomal RNA, 253 nt
Filed under: uncultured bacterium
Lineage: Bacteria
Description: partial 16S ribosomal RNA
Rfam family: Bacterial small subunit ribosomal RNA
Source: RNAcentral
UACGAAGGGGGCGAGCGUUGUUCGGAUUUACUGGGCGUAAAGGGCGCGCAGGCGGCUAUUUUUGUCAGGCGUGAAAGCCCCGGGCUUAACCUGGGAACAGCGCUUGAGACGGGAUGGCUGGAGAUCGGGAGAGGAGAGUGGAAUUCCCAGUGUAGAGGUGAAAGUCGUAGAUAUUGGGAAGAACACUGGUGGCGAAGGCGGCUCUCUGGACCGAUACUGACGCUGAGGCGCGAAAGCAAGGGGAGCAAACGGG